Molecule: ribosomal RNA, 833 nt
Filed under: uncultured Janthinobacterium sp.
Lineage: Bacteria; Pseudomonadati; Pseudomonadota; Betaproteobacteria; Burkholderiales; Oxalobacteraceae
Description: bacterial SSU rRNA
Rfam family: Bacterial small subunit ribosomal RNA
Source: RNAcentral
CAAGUCGAACGGCAGCGCGGGGCAACCUGGCGGCGAGUGGCGAACGGGUGAGUAAUAUAUCGGAACGUACCCUGGAGUGGGGGAUAACGUAGCGAAAGUUACGCUAAUACCGCAUACGAUCUAAGGAUGAAAGCAGGGGACCGCAAGGCCUUGUGCUCCUGGAGCGGCCGAUAUCUGAUUAGCUAGUUGGUGGGGUAAAGGCCUACCAAGGCAUCGAUCAGUAGCUGGUCUGAGAGGACGACCAGCCACACUGGAACUGAGACACGGUCCAGACUCCUACGGGAGGCAGCAGUGGGGAAUUUUGGACAAUGGGCGAAAGCCUGAUCCAGCAAUGCCGCGUGAGUGAAGAAGGCCUUCGGGUUGUAAAGCUCUUUUGUCAGGGAAGAAACGGUGAGGGCUAAUAUCCCUUGCUAAUGACGGUACCUGAAGAAUAAGCACCGGCUAACUACGUGCCAGCAGCCGCGGUAAUACGUAGGGUGCAAGCGUUAAUCGGAAUUACUGGGCGUAAAGCGUGCGCAGGCGGUUUUGUAAGUCUGUCGUGAAAUCCCCGGGCUCAACCUGGGAAUUGCGAUGGAGACUGCAAGGCUAGAAUCUGGCAGAGGGGGGUAGAAUUCCACGUGUAGCAGUGAAAUGCGUAGAGAUGUGGAGGAACACCGAUGGCGAAGGCAGCCCCCUGGGUCAAGAUUGACGCUCAUGCACGAAAGCGUGGGGAGCAAACAGGAUUAGAUACCCUGGUAGUCCACGCCCUAAACGAUGUCUACUAGUUGUCGGGUUUUAAUUAACUUGGUAACGCAGCUAACGCGUGAAGUAGACCGCCUGGGGAGUACGGUCGC